CCUACGGGUGGCUGCAGUGGGGAAUAUUGGACAAUGGGGGCAACCCUGAUCCAGCCAUGCCGCGUGUGUGAAGAAGGCCCUCGGGUUGUAAAGCACUUUCAGUGAGGAAGAACGCCUGGUGGUUAAUACCCAUCAGGAAAGACAUCACUCACAGAAGAAGCACCGGCUAACUCCGUGCCAGCAGCCGCGGUAAUACGGAGGGUGCGAGCGUUAAUCGGAAUUACUGGGCGUAAAGCGCGCGUAGGUGGCUUGAUAAGCCGGUUGUGAAAGCCCCGGGCUCAACCUGGGAACGGCAUCCGGAACUGUCAAGCUAGAGUGCAGGAGAGGAAGGUAGAAUUCCCGGUGUAGCGGUGAAAUGCGUAGAGAUCGGGAGGAAUACCAGUGGCGAAGGCGGCCUUCUGGACUGACACUGACACUGAGGUGCGAAAGCGUGGGUAGCAACCAGGAUUAGAUACCCCUGUAGUC
RNAcentral lists this ribosomal RNA (465 nucleotides) under Vreelandella stevensii. Its description in RNAcentral is "partial 16S ribosomal RNA". It matches the Rfam family "Bacterial small subunit ribosomal RNA", at positions 338 to 795 of the family's 1533-position model. The record is from RNAcentral. Lineage: Bacteria; Pseudomonadati; Pseudomonadota; Gammaproteobacteria; Oceanospirillales; Halomonadaceae.